RNA transcript from Mastomys coucha (southern multimammate mouse), 1427 nucleotides. It is a transcript of the gene named ankyrin repeat and MYND domain-containing protein 2 pseudogene, with no coding region annotated. The transcript has 2 exons. The record is from RefSeq and is a predicted model, not a curated record. Lineage: Eukaryota; Metazoa; Chordata; Mammalia; Rodentia; Muridae.
GCUCGGCUCACUCAAGCUCGCUGCACCCGCCAGCCCCCAGCCGCGAGACCCUAAGGAGUGUGCCACUUCACAGGGCUGCUGCUCCGGCCUCGAGUUGCCUUGCUGUGGCAGUCUUCCACGACGCACACACGUCUCUCAUUCUUUAAAAAAAAAAAAAACCUUUCCAAAGAAAUAGAAUAAGCAUCAAGCUGGCGGGAGCGAUGGGUCACAUAAAGAAAGGCGAGCUGACCCAGGAGGAAAAGGAACUGCUGGAAGUGAUCGGGAAAGGUACGGUCCAAGAAGCUGGAACUCUGUUGUCUAGUAAGAAUGUUCAUGUCAACUGCUUGGAUGAGAAUGGAAUGACUCCUUUAAUGCAUGCAGCCUAUAAAGGAAAACUUGAUAUGUGCAAAUUACUUUUGCGACACGGAGCUGAUGUCAAUUGCCAUCAACAUGAGCACGGAUACACAGCCCUCAUGUUUGCUGCACUUUCUGGUAAUAAAGACAUCACAUGGGUCAUGCUGGAAGCAGGCGCAGAGACCGAUGUUGUGAACUCUGUGGGAAGAACAGCUGCCCAGAUGGCAGCCUUCGUGGGUCAGCAUGAUUGCGUGGCUAUCAUCAACAAUUUCUUCCCUCGAGAGAGACUGGAUUAUUACACUAAACCCCAGGGACUGGAUAAAGAGCCAAAACUGCCUCCAAAGUUGGCAGGGCCCCUGCACAAAAUCAUCACCACAACGAAUCUCCACCCUGUCAAGAUGCUUGUGAGUGAGAACCCUCUGCUGGCAGAUGCAGCCCCUCUCGGCAAAUGCUACCGGGUGAUGGAUUUGAUCUGUGAGAAAUGCAUGAAACAGACAGACAUGAAUGAAGUGUUGGCUAUGAAAAUGCACUACGUCAGCUGCAUCUUUCAGAAAUGCAUUACCUUCCUCAAAGAAGGAGAGAAUAAGCUGGACACUCUGAUCAAAAGCUUGUUGAAAGGCCGAGCGUCUGAUGGCUUCCCGGUGUAUCAAGAGAAGAUCAUCCGAGAAAGCAUCCGGAGGUUUCCGUACUGUGAAGCCACACUUCUCCAGCCGCUGGUGCGAAGCAUAGCUUCAGUGGAAAUUGGUUCUGAUCCCACCGCAUUCUCUGUGCUUACCCAAGCCAUCACAGGGCAAGUGGGCUUUGGGGAUGUUGAGUUUUGUACCACCUGUGGAGAAAAAGGAGCCAGCAAAAGAUGUUUGGUUUGUAAAAUGGUAAUAUAUUGUGACCAGACCUGCCAGACAACACACUGGUUCGCACAUAAGAAGAUGUGUAAGAGUCUGAAAGAUGUUUAUGAGAAGCAACAGACUGAAGCUGCCAAACAUAAAAGACAGGAGGAAAAAAGUGUAAAGCCUGGUGUCACUUCCAACCAUAUUAAUGAAGAUCAAUCAGAAGCUGAAGUGGGCAUCUCUCAGGAAAAUCCCACUCCUGGUUGA